Molecule: non-coding RNA, 146 nt
Organism: Gossypium hirsutum (cotton)
Lineage: Eukaryota; Viridiplantae; Streptophyta; Magnoliopsida; Malvales; Malvaceae
Source: Rfam
UGUUAAAAAUUUCAUGCAUUUAUAUUGUUAAAAACUAGUGUGGUUGAUGAAAUAACCAGACAAUAACACACAGUAUGUCACAUUUACCUUAUGGUGAUGUACAUGAAUUAAUAUUUAACAGUAGAAAUGAAUGGUAUCUUUUAACA